CUAAUUUUCUCCCAAGAAGUGAUUUUAUUUUUCAGGCUGAGAGUAGGGAGGAGAAGAAAGAUGAAGAACAGGAAAGAGAAACUAGUGCCUGUAUCAGCUCAUGACCUUGCUGUUAAAAAUGAGGGGCCUGAGACUGAGAGGGUUUUGUUUAUUUUUUAUAUAUUUUAUCAUUCUAGAUUUAUCUGAGAAAAGCCUCCUGAGAGCUUCCAAAUAUCCAGGAACAUAGUUAGAGGGAUAUUUGAGAUACUAUGAAGGGCAUGGAUUUUUAACUUCUGAAUUACAAGAUGUCUCUAAACCCAACAGAGAGAAGGUGCUCACUGUUAAGCUCAGCAGUGAUCUUGCACAAUGCUGGACUUGAUGUACUCGUGUCUACUCAAACUACUGAAAGUGAAGAGAUCAGAAGACUGAGGCACAGAAAGAUAAGUAAUUUGCAUCAGCUCACACAGCUAAUAAAUGAUGGAAUCAUGAUUUGAACCCAGGAAGUUGGCUUCAGAGCUUUCUCUAGAAGGCUGUGGUAUGUUGUGCUGGGAUAGAAAUCUUUAAUUUUAAUAGAAUCUUAAAAUAGAUGGAUAAUAAUACAUUUUAAUCUCAGACUAAAAACAUAUAGCAGGAGCAACAAAAAUGUUGUUAAAAUUCUUCCACAUAAACUGUAAGAGCUCUCCACAUUAAGACAUCAUAUUUGCCCCCAUACAUGUGCUGUGUACACUGUUCCUCCUUCCUGUCUUUCCUAGACCAUCUAAUCUGACCCUCACGCCAACACUCUUUCUACCCCAAACUACUUCAUGUGCUCUGGAUAUCAACAAAGCUGUCAUGCAGUGAAAUUAGAUAUAAUGAUGAAUCAUAUUCCUAAGUUUCCAAAUGAUAAAAUAGAGUUGAAUAAUUUAAUCUAUAAAAUUCUAGAACAACUAGACCUAACCUAGUAAGACUCUUAAAAUGACUGUAAUGACCCUUUAGUUAUCCUAGAAUGUCCUAUUCUGCUCCUGUCUCUUGAUCCCAUCGAAUGUGUUUUCCUUCAGGUAUUAUAUGUAUGAGAAAAAAGCUUUCUUGUGUUGUUUUAAAUCCAAUUCUUUUUGUUAUUGUUUCAUUACUAAAAUUUUUACUGCUGUCUACUCUUUUUUUUUUUUUCCAGUACAUGUGUCUUUGGAAAUAUUACUAUUAGUUCAACAAAUGAGCCUGGGAGUCUAUUACUUAAAAUAGAUUUGUAAAGCAUAAUUUUUUUGUGAGUUGAAGUUU
RNAcentral lists this long non-coding RNA (1233 nucleotides) under Mustela putorius furo (domestic ferret). RNAcentral's name for it is "lncRNA (ENSMPUG00000028496.1)". The record is from RNAcentral. Lineage: Eukaryota; Metazoa; Chordata; Mammalia; Carnivora; Mustelidae.